RNAcentral lists this ribosomal RNA (254 nucleotides) under uncultured bacterium. RNAcentral's name for it is "partial 16S ribosomal RNA". It matches the Rfam family "Bacterial small subunit ribosomal RNA", at positions 524 to 776 of the family's 1533-position model. The record is from RNAcentral.
CACGUAGGGUGCGAGCGUUGUCCGGAAUUAUUGGGCGUAAAGGGCUCGUAGGCGGUUUGUCGCGUCGGGAGUGAAAUCCACUGGCUUAACUGGUGGCUUGCUUUCGAUACGGGCAGACUGGAGGUAUGCAGGGGGAGAACGGAAUUCCUGGUGUAGCGGUGAAAUGCGCAGAUAUCAGGAGGAACACCGGUGGCGAAGGCGGUUCUCUGGGCAUGUCCUGACGCUGAGGAGCGAAAGUGUGGGGAGCGAACAGG